This 300-nucleotide ribosomal RNA is filed under the name uncultured bacterium. Its description in RNAcentral is "bacterial SSU rRNA". It matches the Rfam family "Bacterial small subunit ribosomal RNA", at positions 1082 to 1382 of the family's 1533-position model. The record is from RNAcentral.
AAGUCCCGCAACGAGCGCAACCCUUAUGUUUAGUUGCCAUCAGUUAGGCUGGGCACUCUAGACAGACUGCCGUGGACAACACGGAGGAAGGUGGGGAUGACGUCAAAUCAUCAUGCCCCUUAUGAUUUGGGCUACACACGUGCUACAAUGGUCGGUACAACGGGCAGCGAAGGAGUGAUCUGGAGCGAAUCCUAAAAAGCCGAUCUCAGUUCGGAUUGUAGGCUGCAACUCGCCUACAUGAAGUUGGAGUUACUAGUAAUCGUGGAUCAGAAUGCCGCGGUGAAUGCGUUCCCGGGUCUU